GUUUUUUCUACCUGGGAAUUCCCGGCCUUGCUCCUCCUGCACGGGCAAAAGAGGAGCAAACUGCCCAAAGGAAACGCUGGCGAGCCUGGCAGCUUGGACGCAGGUAGGGUGACAGCAAACUUCACUGACCAGCAAGUGCUGGCUCCAUGAGCUGGAGUUUGUGCUCUGCCAUCACAGUCAGACUUCACACAUGUACAAGCCCCUGCAUUUUGGGAGAAGGAAAAGAAACAGGAGAAGCAGGAGACUGUGGAAAGAGAAAUCCUGGCAUGCUCUAUGGUGCUGCGCUGGUGGCCAUGAGCGAGGGAUGUGUCCAGGACUGACAGCUCCUCAUCCAGGUACCAGCCCUUCUCCAGCACUCUGUGAGAUGCAACUUGAGAUGCAACAUUUAUUGAGGGAAGGGGAUCCCGAGGACACUGGAAAUUGCCAUCAUGCAAUGUGGAAGGAGCCUGUUUACACAUGUGCAUAGGGAGGAUGUUUGUGAUUUGGGCUGAAAUAUGCUAAUUACUGAAAACCAUCGACACGUGAAGAACUCAGUAUUUCAGCGUAUUCCCCACACCAGCAAGAGCAGUGAAUGUGAAAUACCACCUGUCAAGCACUUGCAGCAGAUAGGGUGUACUUUCUGCAGUGUCCUGUGGAGUACAAGAGUGGACUCAUUAACAUUAAUUAUUAGAAGAGGAACAUCAAUUAUUGCAAUAACCUUUGUCAAGCCAAGCAAACUGACUGCUAAACAGCAAACGAAUCCACGUUUACCAGGCAGGAUUUGCAUGGACAGAAAGAAGAAAAAGAAAAGACCCCAUAAAAUCCUCAACAUCACUCUGAAGCAGAAGAGAUCCAGUGUCGCUUGUUAAGCCUGGCAUCAGCAGCACGUUCUGCUCAAGACCUCUAGACAGAGAAUAAAAGGGGAACUUCAGACACUUGGCUGACUUGCAAGUUUUGAUGCCUCGCCAGUUGCCUUGAGGCUGCAAAUCUUAGAAGAUGAGAUUUUCCUGUGGCGUUUGACUUUUCUGCCUGAAGCCCAGAGAGCUCAGAAGCAGACAGAACACAGGUGACAGUAACACAUUACAAAUCAUAAUUCACUGCACGUUCUAUGUAGAGUGCAAAAGGAAGGGAAUUUUCCUAUUCCUGUUUCCUCUGUAUCCAUGUGACCAUCACUGUCCUUUGUCCCUACAUGUACUGCUCUUAAGCCUGGAAGACCAGUAAAUGCAAACCAUUCUUCA
Long non-coding RNA from Pseudopipra pipra, 1217 nucleotides. RefSeq lists it as uncharacterized. The transcript is spliced from 6 exons. The record is from RefSeq and is a predicted model, not a curated record. Lineage: Eukaryota; Metazoa; Chordata; Aves; Passeriformes; Pipridae.